GACAAUUCUAAAAUCUUAUAUUGGGAGAACGUAAACUGAGUCCGAUUUCCGAUAUUUCAUCUACAUAUUUUAUAUUCCGGCAAACAUGCUUCGCAUUAUCAACAACGAAGAGAAGUAAAAUUCCCGCUCGUAUCUGCAGGUAUGCUUGACCGAGAAGAUUCCGACGACAUAAGAGAUUUCCAAUUUUCCGGCGGGUCGCGAC
This is a non-coding RNA of Paramuricea clavata, 202 nucleotides long. The record is from the annotation of a GenBank genome assembly. NCBI's taxonomy places the organism in Eukaryota, Metazoa, Cnidaria, Anthozoa, Malacalcyonacea, Plexauridae.